This 301-nucleotide ribosomal RNA is filed under the name uncultured bacterium. RNAcentral's name for it is "partial 16S ribosomal RNA". It matches the Rfam family "Bacterial small subunit ribosomal RNA", at positions 509 to 807 of the family's 1533-position model. The record is from RNAcentral.
CAGUCGCCGCGGUAACACGGAGGGUGCAAGCGUUAUCCGGAUUUAUUGGGUUUAAAGGGUCCGUAGGCGGAUCUGUAAGUCAGUGGUGAAAUCUCACAGCUUAACUGUGAAACUGCCAUUGAUACUGCAGGUCUUGAGUAAAUUUGAAGUGGCUGGAAUAAGUAGUGUAGCGGUGAAAUGCAUAGAUAUUACUUAGAACACCAAUUGCGAAGGCAGGUCACUAAGAUUUAACUGACGCUGAUGGACGAAAGCGUGGGGAGCGAACAGGAUUAGAUACCCGAGUAGUCCCUGUCUCUUAUAC